CAGUAGCCACGGGAAUACGGAGGGUGCAAGCGUUAAUCGGAAUUACUGGGCGUAAAGCGCACGCAGGCGGUCUGUCAAGUCGGAUGUGAAACCCCCGGGCUCAACCUGGGAACUGCAUUCGAAACUGGCAGGCUAGAGUCUUGUAGAGGGGGGUAGAAUUCCAGGUGUAGCGGUGAAAUGCGUAGAGAUCUGGAGGAAUACCGGUGGCGAAGGCGGCCCCCUGGACAAAGACUGACGCUCAGGUGCGAAAGCGUGGGGAGCAAACAGGAUUAGAUACCCCAGUAGUCCCUGUCUCUUAUAA
RNAcentral lists this ribosomal RNA (301 nucleotides) under uncultured bacterium. Its description in RNAcentral is "partial 16S ribosomal RNA". It matches the Rfam family "Bacterial small subunit ribosomal RNA", at positions 509 to 809 of the family's 1533-position model. The record is from RNAcentral.